RNAcentral lists this long non-coding RNA (2202 nucleotides) under Ficedula albicollis (Collared flycatcher). RNAcentral's name for it is "lncRNA (ENSFALG00000028628.1)". The record is from RNAcentral. Lineage: Eukaryota; Metazoa; Chordata; Aves; Passeriformes; Muscicapidae.
AUGGGAAGUUUUGUUCCUAAACUGCAGAGAGGAAUCAUUUUUUGUUCCCCCAUCCCUGAAGGGAAUCCAGGGACACAAUUCCCAGGGAAUGCUGCUGAGGUGAGGAGAGGAAAGAUUUUGGAAACCCCAAACCAAGGGUUUGGGUCUGUUCGGCCUUGGAGGCAAAAACGUCCCUUGGGAGCUCAGCAAGGGCCUUUCUGUGGGGUUUGUGUGGGGUUUGUGUGGGGCCAGGGUGGGAAAUUCCACUUCUGUGGGGUUUGUGUGGGGUUUGUGUGGGGCCAGGGUAGGAAAUUCCACUUCUGUGGGAUUUGUGUGGGGUUUGUGUGGGGUUUGUGUGGGGCCAGGGUAGGAAAUUCCACUUCUGUGGGAUUUGUGUGGGGUUUGUGUGGGGUUUGUGUGGGGCCAGGGUAGGAAAUUCCACUUCUGUGGGAUUUGUGUGGGGUUUGUGUGGGGUUUGUGUGGGGCCAGGGUAGGAAAUUCCACUUCUGUGGGAUUUGUGUGGGGUUUGUGUGGGGUUUGUGUGGGGUUUGUGUGGGGUUUGUGUGGGGCCAGGGUAGGAAAUUCCACUUCUGUGGGAUUUGUGUGGGGUUUGUGUGGGGUUUGUGUGGGGUUUGUGUGGGGUUUGUGUGGGGCCAGGGUAGGAAAUUCCACUUCUGUGGGAUUUGUGUGGGGUUUGUGUGGGGUUUGUGUGGGGUUUGUGUGGGGUUUGUGUGGGGCCAGGGUAGGAAAUUCCACUUCUGUGGGAUUUGUGUGGGGUUUGUGUGGGGUUUGUGUGGGGUUUGUGUGGGGUUUGUGUGGGGCCAGGGUAGGAAAUUCCACUUCUGUGGGAUUUGUGUGGGGUUUGUGUGGGGUUUGUGUGGGGUUUGUGUGGGGUUUGUGUGGGGCCAGGGUAGGAAUUUUCACUUCUGUGGGAUUUGUGUGGGGUUUGUGUGGGGCCAGGGUGGAAAUUUUCACUUCUCUGGGGUUUGUGUGGGGCCAGGGUGGGAAAUUCCAAUUCUGUGGGGUUUCUGUGGCACCAGGGGCCACACGUGCCAGUUCUGUGGGGUUUGUGGGGAUUAGAACAGGAACUGCCAUUUCUGUGGGGUUUCUGUGGGGUUUGUGUGGCACCAGGGCUGCAAAUGCCAAUUCUGUGGAGUUUGUGGGGUUCUAGAGCAGGAAAUGCCACUUGUGUGGGGUUUGUGUGACCCCAGAGGUGAAAAUGCCAGUUUUGUAGGGUUUGUGUGGCACCAGAGUAGGAAAUGCCACUUUGUGGGGUUUCUGUGGGGUUUCUGUGGGACUAGAAUGAGAAAUGCCACUUUUGUGGGGUUUCUGUGGGGUUUGUAGGGGUCUAGAGCAGGAGAUGCCAUUUCUUCACUUGUGUGGGGUUUCUGUGGGUUUUUUUUGGGAUCUAGAGCAGGAAAUUCCACUUUUGUGGGGUUUCUGUGGGGUUUGUAGGGGUCUAGAGCAGGAGAUGCCAUUUCUGUGGGGUUUGUGUGGGAUUUUUAUGGCACCAGGGCAGCAAAUGCCAAUUUUGUGGGGUUAUUGUGGGGUUCCUGUGGGGUUUGUGUGGGACUAGAACAGAAAAUGCCAUUUCUGUGGGGUUUGUGUGGGGUUUCUGUGGGGUUUGUGUGACCCUAGAGCUGAAAAUGCUGCUUGUGUGGUGUUUGUGUAGGACCAUGGUAGGAAAUGCCACUUUUGUGGGGUUCCUGUGGGGUUCCUGUGGGGUUUGUGUGACCCCAGAGCUGCAAAUGCCACUUGUGUGGAAUUUUUGCUCAUGGGGGGCUGCAGGAACAGCUCCUUUCCCUCCUCUUGUAAUUCCACGCUCCAAUUCCAGCCCCCCAAGGAUGGAGGAUAGGAAUAAUGGGAUAAUUAUCCUGUAGGAAUAAUGGGAUAAUUAUCCUGUAGGAAUAAUGGGAAUAACCCCAGAGCUCAGAGGAGUCCUGGAGCCCUCACCUGGGGAGGCAGCAGGGUGACUGAGCUCCCAGAAUCCAAAAUCCAGCUGGAGCUCAGCCCGUCCUGGAUCAGCUCAGGACAAAGCUGCACAAAAACUCUGGGAAAAAAAAAUCAGCAGGGCUGAUUUUCCUUUUGCCAUGGGAAUUUUGGGGUGUCUGGGGGGGGGGGGGGGGGGGGGGGGGGGGGGGGGGGGGGGGGGGGGGGGGGGGGGGGGGGGGGGGGGGGGGGGGGGGGGGGGGGGGGGGGGGGGGGGGGGGGGGGGGGGGGGGG